UAAUACGAAGGGGGCUAGCGUUGCUCGGAAUCACUGGGCGUAAAGCGCACGUAGGCGGCUUUUUAAGUCAGGGGUGAAAUCCUGGAGCUCAACUCCAGAACUGCCUUUGAUACUGAAAGGCUUGAGUCCGGGAGAGGUGAGUGGAACUGCGAGUGUAGAGGUGAAAUUCGUAGAUAUUCGCAAGAACACCAGUGGCGAAGGCGGCUCACUGGCCCGGUACUGACGCUGAUGUGCGAAAGCGUGGGGAGCAAACAGGAUUAGAUACCCUGGUAGUCCACGCCGUAAACGAUGGAUGCUAGCCGUUGGCGAGCUUGCUCGUCAGUGGCGCAGCUAACGCAUUAAGCAUCCCGCCUGGGGAGUACGGUCGCAAGAUU
RNAcentral lists this ribosomal RNA (374 nucleotides) under uncultured bacterium. RNAcentral describes it as "bacterial SSU rRNA". It matches the Rfam family "Bacterial small subunit ribosomal RNA", at positions 521 to 895 of the family's 1533-position model. The record is from RNAcentral.